CUACUAUUGCUUGAGGAAUUCAAUUCCCCGAAGCUAAAAGAUUGAUACUUUUGUCACCCCGGAGGUUUAAUAUCGUCAUGAUGUACAAAUCUAGGAAAGACACUAAACAUAAAACAUGCAGAACACUGUUUUUCGGUCUCAGGUCAGGCAUACAGAAUAUAAAACAUAAAUUAAUCAAAGAUCUCAGAGCAAGCUACAGAGGAGCUUCUUUUCCAAAAAAAUCACCGGCCAUUCGUAGCUCUAUAGUUAUGUGUCCUUCUCAAGCACAAUGUGGCCAAACUAUAAGAUGCUUUAGCUCUCUUUUACAAUGAUUAGAUAACAGCUUUAAAAAUUGUCGAGAAGAUAGUAUUCAUCUGGUGGUGUCUAGCUUGUUUCUCUCUAUUCUUGAUCAGCUGAAAAUUUACAUUUAACAAUAUGAAAACAAAACCCGUCCAGCAGCAAAUGCAUUAUAAUCAAUUAGCAGUUAAACUAAUGCUCAAGAUUUCACUCAAGGCAUGCCUGGAAUAAAUAGACAGAUACUUGUAAAAUGCUACAAGUCUAACGGACGCCUUACAUGGAAUGUGAAUCCGAUGAAACGCAGAUAAGACCGAAAAAAUAAAAUAAAGACAAGAACAAGGCACGGGGAUCAAACACGUGACCUUGGCUUUGAUGGCAUAAUAGUUACAACUUUAGGCUGAAUCUUAAGGAUUUUAGGUGCAGGCUUGUAAUAUGUUAAACAACAUGGAACAAUUUCAAUGUCAGGUGACAUCCAAACAAAAUCAAAGCCCCACCAAACAUUUUCAUUAUUAUGAUUAUAGAUAAAAACAAACGCAGAGAUGGAGGUGGAAAUUGAAAGGGCCAAAACGUUGAAUGUGUUAUCUAUAGACACCAUUAAUGAAGGAAAUGGACCCCACAGCUAUUCCCAGAAAUCCUCCUUUCGGGCUAUUCACAGAUAUACUUCUCAAGUGGAACAUGAAUGCCUGAAAAAUGGAUACAUAUAACAAUUAUGAUCUCUUAUUCCAAUCUUAAAUUUUCGAUAGUCUCCACAAAGGAGGAAAAAAAAAGUUUUUUAAGGAAUUUUCACGUCACUAUGGCUACCGAAAAUGAUUAAACUUCAUCGGGUAACCCCCGAUCAUAACUUUCAUACCCAUCAUAAUAAUACAUUUCUUGUGCUAAUGCCUUUUAGCCGGGCAUCUCAUCAAUUCUCAGAAAGAAAUGUCAACCUAGCCGAAAGGAUUCUAAAUUCUUUUUAGCAAAAAUUUCAUGAACUACAGACCUUCUACCACUUGUCAUGAUAUCUCUGUAUUAACUUGAUAUUCUGAAAAGAAGCUAACAGAUAUUCCAGCACCAAAAAGUAGCAGCAUCAGAGUUCCAGAUUGUUCACUACUUGCGAUCUUGCAGAGAACAUGCCCAAAGAAGAGAGGGGGGGCAAAAAAGCUCAAGAAGCACCAGCACAAUAGUAGCAACAUCAGAUUUCUAAACUGUUCGAGAAUAUAAAGCAAAAAUACUUGCAAGGACAAUCCCAGCAUUACCAAAUUGAGAAAAACCAAGCACCUUAAUGCAGCGGAAGUUUAAUGUUCUAAUAUUUCGUUGCUUCUCGAGAAUACCAGAAUAAAGAAUGAUCUAAAUUCACAUCAAUUCGAAGGAAUACCAUGAACUUAGGGGCUAAAACUCGUUCAUUCCACGGAAUGCUAAGAAUUUACUAAACUCAAAAACUCACACAAAGCUUUGAAAACUGAAAAUAUUAUUGAACCCCAAUCAACCUUUAAAGGCUACAAGAGAUGGCUACUUAUACUACUUGUAAUUAUCCUAAAUCGUGAAGAAAAAAUGAAAAGAAAGUCCUAAACUACUAAGAAAAUGAAUAACAAACUUUAAACAAGAAGAAACCUAAUUUAAACAUGUUAGGGAUUCCUAAUCUGUAUGACACUUUCAAGAAUGAUCCCAUCAUGAAUAAAAUCAUUUUAGUUCAUGCAAUCUGAAUAGAGAAAUCCAAAUGAUUGCACCGUAUCUUUUUAUUUUAAAAAAUCAUUUGAAAUUGCAUAGACAGGGUUGGCAAUUUAAGGGCCUGGGCCGGGCUUUGCCAAGCC
RNAcentral lists this long non-coding RNA (2066 nucleotides) under Citrus sinensis (sweet orange). RNAcentral's name for it is "long non-coding RNA (CSIN_LNC002355)". The record is from RNAcentral. Lineage: Eukaryota; Viridiplantae; Streptophyta; Magnoliopsida; Sapindales; Rutaceae.